CCUUCGGGGGGCAGCAGUUGGGAAUAUUGGACAAUGGGGGCAAGCCUGAAUCAGCCAUUCCGGGUGGGUGAAGAAGGCUUUUGGGUUGUAAAGCCCUUUUGUUGGGAAAGAAAAGCAUUCGGUUUAUUCCCGGGUGUUUUGGCGGUACCCAAAGAAUAAGCCCCGGGUAAAUUUGGGCCCGCCACCGCGGUAAUUAGAAGGGGGCCAGGGUUUCUUGGAAUUUCUGGGGGUAAAGGGGGGGUAGGUGGUGGUUUAAAUUCGUAGUGAAAACCCCGGGGUUCACCUGGGAAUUGCAGUGGAUACUGGAUCACUUGAGUUUGGUAGAGGAUAGUGGAAUUUUCGGUGUAGCAGUGAAAUGCGUAGAGAUCGGAAGGAACAUCCGUGGCGAAGGGGACUAUCUGGGCCAACACUGACACUGAGGCACGAAAGCGUGGGGAGCAAACAGGAUUAGAUACCCAGGUAGUUCAAGCCAUAAAAAGGAAGCCCCCGGGCCGGGGGGGGAACCCGACCCCAUUGGCG
Molecule: ribosomal RNA, 519 nt
Filed under: uncultured bacterium
Lineage: Bacteria
Description: partial 16S ribosomal RNA
Rfam family: Bacterial small subunit ribosomal RNA
Source: RNAcentral